CGAAAGGGAAACAGCCCAGAUCAGCAGCUAAGGUGCCUAAAUAGUGCUCAGUGGAAAGGAGGUGGGAUUUCAUAGACAGUGAGGAUGUUGGCUUAGAAGCAGCCACCAUUUAAACAAAGCGUAACAGCUGACUCAUCGAGAAAUCCUGCGCCGAAAAUGAUUGGCGAUAAGCACUAUACCGAAGCUCUGGAUGUCAUUGGCCUGCGGGCCAGUGGCGUGGUAGAGGAGCAUUCUCAACACGUUGAAGCCAUAAGGUGACUGACGGUGGAGAGUUGAGAAGUGAGCAUGUAGACAUGAGUAACGAUAAGCCAGGUGAAAUCCCUGGCCGCCGUAAACCCGAGGUUUCCUGGGCAAUGCUGGUCAUCCCAGGGUUAGUCGGGACCUAAGCCGAGGCCGAAGGGCGUAGGCGAUGGAAAGCUGGUUAAUAUUCCAGCACCUCCUUUGAUUUAAACUAGAAGGACGCGGAUUCGGAAAGAGCCUGCCGGCUGAAAGUGGCAGGGGCGCAAGCUGACUUGGAUCCUUCGGGUGAAGGGGAUCUCUUAAAGAAUCUGCCAAGAAAAGUUCUAGUGCAUAGACUAAGGAGCCCGUACCGUAAACCGACACAGGUGGGUGAGUAGAAUAUACUAAGGCGCAAGAGUGAAACCCUGUUAAGGAACUCGGCAAAUUAGCCCCGUAACUUCGGGAGAAGGGGUCCCGGGACUUGUCCCGGGCGCAGUGAAAGGGCCCAUCCGACUGUUUAGCAAAAACACAGCA
This 753-nucleotide ribosomal RNA is filed under the name Verrucomicrobiaceae bacterium. RNAcentral's name for it is "partial 23S ribosomal RNA". It matches the Rfam family "Bacterial large subunit ribosomal RNA", at positions 1012 to 1820 of the family's 2925-position model. Lineage: Bacteria; Pseudomonadati; Verrucomicrobiota; Verrucomicrobiia; Verrucomicrobiales; Verrucomicrobiaceae. The record is from RNAcentral.